RNAcentral lists this ribosomal RNA (301 nucleotides) under uncultured Dysgonomonas sp. RNAcentral describes it as "bacterial SSU rRNA". It matches the Rfam family "Bacterial small subunit ribosomal RNA", at positions 494 to 795 of the family's 1533-position model. Lineage: Bacteria; Pseudomonadati; Bacteroidota; Bacteroidia; Bacteroidales; Dysgonomonadaceae. The record is from RNAcentral.
AAGCACUCUGGGCGAUGGGCCGGGGUAAUGCGGGGUGUGCUAGCGUUGGUCGGAAUGACUGGUCGUAAAGGUGUCGUAGGCGGCCAACGAAGUCGGACGUGAAAUCCCGCGGCUUAACCUGGGAACUGCGGCCGAUACUGGAUGGCUUGAGUUUGGGAGAGGGAUGCGGAAUUCCAGGUGUAGCGGUGAAAUGCGUAGAUAUCUGGAGGAACACCGGUGGCGAAGGCGGCAUCCUGGACCAAUACUGACGCUGAGUGAGCGAAAGCCAGGGGAGCAAACGGGAUUAGAUACCCCAGUAGUC